UAAGCGGGGGAAAAGAAACUAACAAGGAUUCCCCUAGUAGCGGCGAGCGAAGCGGGAAGAGCUCAAAUUUAUAAUCUGGCACCUUCGGUGUCCGAGUUGUAAUCUCUAGAAAUGUUUUCCGCGUUGGACCGCACACAAGUCUGUUGGAAUACAGCGGCAUAGUGGUGAGACCCCCGUAUAUGGUGCGGACGCCCAGCGCUUUGUGAUACAUUUUCGAAGAGUCGAGUUGUUUGGGAAUGCAGCUCAAAUUGGGUGGUAAAUUCCAUCUAAAGCUAAAUAUUGGCGAGAGACCGAUAGCGAACAAGUACCGUGAGGGAAAGAUGAAAAGCACUUUGGAAAGAGAGUUAACAGUACGUGAAAUUGUUGGAAGGGAAACGCUUGAAGUCAGACUUGCUUGCCGAGCAAUCGGUUUGCAGGCCAGCAUCAGUUUUCCGGGAUGGAUAAUGGUAGAGAGAAGGUAGCAGUUUCGGCUGUGUUAUAGCUCUUCUGCUGGAUACAUUUUGGGGGACUGAGGAACGCAGUGUGCCUUUUGGCGGGGGUUUCGACUCUUCACAUUAGGAUGCGGGAAUG
This 570-nucleotide ribosomal RNA is filed under the name Rhodotorula mucilaginosa. RNAcentral's name for it is "eukaryotic LSU rRNA". It matches the Rfam family "Eukaryotic large subunit ribosomal RNA", at positions 47 to 633 of the family's 3401-position model. Lineage: Eukaryota; Fungi; Basidiomycota; Microbotryomycetes; Sporidiobolales; Sporidiobolaceae. The record is from RNAcentral.